Long non-coding RNA from Syngnathus acus (greater pipefish), 809 nucleotides. RefSeq lists it as uncharacterized. The record is from RefSeq and is a predicted model, not a curated record. NCBI's taxonomy places the organism in Eukaryota, Metazoa, Chordata, Actinopteri, Syngnathiformes, Syngnathidae. The transcript is spliced from 2 exons.
CGCUCCUAACUUUUCAUAAUGAGACAUGGAAAUGGGUUUGCAUGAAACAUACACUGCGGUAAACACAAUGUAUCUCAGUACAGGGUGUUCUUGGUUUACGACGACCCGACCUGACAUACGACGGUGCGUGAUGAUGUGCGUCGGCGGAAGGCACGCUCAGUUAGGGCCGAAAUGGUUACUGUUUUUCAUUUGUUUUAUGUUUUUGAGCUAAAGAGUUUUUUUUUCAUCCAAUGGGAAUAAAGUAAAUGCUCAGUGGCCUGGACUAAAGAAGCAGACGAAAGAACGAAGCAGGGCAUGUGGUCGGGGUACCAUACUUUGCAUAUAUCUCUGAUAUAAAUGAUUUAUAUUGUUCAUCAGUACAUAUACGAUAUGUAAAUUGUAAGGGGGUUUGUAAUCUAUUCUACUCUAUAAAACACUUAUCAAGCCACAAAGUGAUGUUCCAUAUUUGCAUCCUAUGGCAGUUGUCUCUGUUAAAAAAAUGCAGUAUCUUCACAGUUGUUGUCUGAGCUGUUGGCUGCUCUUAUCUGCUGCCAACACAACGAGGCUGCCUGCAGGAGGGAGGAACACGCACAGCAGUUGGACUGGACCACCAGAUAAAGCGACUCAGACAGGCAGCCAGCCAGAGUCAGCUGCAAUUUGGGCUGAACAUUUCCUUGGGCUUGACAGUUGUUGGACGAUCUACUGUUGACUUUUUGGAUAUAAACUGUAGACCAAGCAGGGAAAGCCCAGCGGCAAGGGGGCAUUGGCAGCACUUCUUGAUGGAGAUAAAACUGCACUCUUCAAAUAAAAACUAUCUUGGUCUUAACUCA